AGCAGCCGCGGUAAUUCCAGCUCCAAUAGCGUAUAUUAAAGUUGUUGCAGUUAAAAAGCUCGUAGUUGAAUUUCGGAAUCUGUCCGUUGGUCGGGCUUCAUUGUCCGUACUGGUGUGAUGGGUUCUUACCUUCUGAAUAACCAGCAUGCCAUUCAUUUGGUGCGUUGGGGAAGCAGGACUAUUACCUUGAAAAAAUUAGAGUGCUCAAAGCAGGCUAGUGCCUGAAUACAUUAGCAUGGAAUAAUAAAAUAGGACGGCAUGGUUCUAUUUUGUUGGUUUCUAGGAUCACCGUAAUGAUUAAUAGGGAUAGUUGGGGGCAUUAGUAUUCAAUUGUCAGAGGUGAAAUUCUUGGAUUUAUUGAAGACUAACUUCUGCGAAAGCAUUUGCCAAGGAUGUUUUCAUUAAUCAAGAACGAAAGUUAGGGGAUCGAAGACGAUCAGAUACCGUCGUAGUCUUAACCAUAAACUAUGCCGACUAGGGAUCGGACGAUGUUAAUUUUUUAAUGAGCUCG
RNAcentral lists this ribosomal RNA (511 nucleotides) under uncultured fungus. RNAcentral describes it as "SSU rRNA". It matches the Rfam family "Eukaryotic small subunit ribosomal RNA", at positions 569 to 1082 of the family's 1831-position model. Lineage: Eukaryota; Fungi. The record is from RNAcentral.